UACUCUAAAACUCUAAGACAAGCAAGGGAGCAUCUGGGCCACUUCCUUGCUACAUUUCAUCUUGAGCAGCCUCCUGCUCUCAGACGACUGACACAAUUCCCUUUUGUAUGUAUGUACAUAUAUAAUUUGUGAUAAAAACCUGGUAGAACAAGAUGAUCUAAUAAUGUUUAAACUGUAGUGUAGGCAGUAAAUAAGACUAUUUAGGCAAGGAAGUUCCAUAACAUUGUUCUGUCACUGAAUAGUCUCCAUGGUAGUCACUUGACUCCUACCACCUACUAAGAGGUGGCAUGCAGGGAGAACAUCUGAGGGUACUGAUAGAUAUAGCAGAAAGGAGACAAUCUGGGUCACCUGCCCCUAAGCUGCUGAAAAAAUUAUAUUCCAGAGUAAAAGGGAUGUGUUAUGUCACUGAAAAGCAACCACAGGAUUUGCGUCAAACCUGAUUCAGUGAUACAGAAAAUGGCCCUCUGUUUGUACUGAUUCUAAUCCAUGCCGACAUACAGAAAUCCAGACUGCCAUUCCUCCUAUCAUCUGUAACCCCAAAAUACCCAGAGGUUAUUGUCAAAGCCUCUGAAAUCCACUUACAACCCAUGGACAAUCUGAUUCUGCAGGACACCAUGCACCAACGACGACAGCAUCAGGCAUGAGAACCUAGUGUCAUCUUCUGAAACUGCCCCCUCAAUCUGAAGACUGGAAACAAGAUGGUCCAAGCCUGUCCUCUUUGUGUAGCUGAGAAGUUCAUAGUGGCCAACAGUGUCAAAUACCAGUGGAAGACCUAGCAGAAUUAAGAGGAUGUUACACAUUUCAUGCGUAGCAUACACUGUCUACAAUAGCAGCCCAGCUCUCUCAGCAGCAAAACAAGACAUGAAACUGGUUUGAAAUAGGUUUAGACAAUCUAUUCAUCUGAGAACUCUGGAGCCAAGCUGUGACAUCAUAUUCAAGAACUUUGUUUUAAAAACGGCAAGUGUGAGACUGAUCAGAAAUUAUCCAGCAUAGUGAGAUCCAGAAAGAGUUUAUUCAGCAGAGAUAAGAAACCUUCUAUUAGCUGAGCUAUAUAUAUUCUAUACAGUUCUGUGAUCCAUUGGCACUAUAUGUGUUUAUCAUUGCCCUUCUCCACAAGAGUUUCUUGGGGUGCCUUAACCAGCAGUAAUGGGUAUGGAUCACGUGUACAUUGUUCUUAAAAGUAACAAAGAAUGGACGGGGCAUUGUUCCAUUUUUUGUGUGACUUCUGACUUUUAGAAACCCAACAUAUUGAAAAGA
Molecule: long non-coding RNA, 1257 nt
Filed under: Pogona vitticeps (central bearded dragon)
Lineage: Eukaryota; Metazoa; Chordata; Lepidosauria; Squamata; Agamidae
Description: lncRNA (ENSPVIG00000019584.1)
Source: RNAcentral